CAGCCGCCGCGGUAAUACCGGCAGCACGAGUGAUAGCCACUAUUAUUGGGCCUAAAGCGUCCGUAGCCGGCUACACAGGUCCGUCGGGAAAUCCACCCGCUCAACGGGUGGGCGUCCGGCGGAAACCAGGUAGCUUGGGGCCGGAAGACCAGAGGGGUACGUCCGGGGUAGGAGUGAAAUCCUGUAAUCCUGGACGGACCAUCGGUUGCGAAAGCGCCUCUGGAGGACGGACCCGACGGUGAGGGACGAAAGCUUGGGUCUCGAACCGGAUUAGAUACCCGGAUAGUCCAAGCUGUAAACGAUGCUCGCUAGGUGCGGCGCAGGCUACGAGCCUGCGCUGUGCCGUAGGGAAGCCGAGAAGCGAGCCGCCUGGGAAGUACGUCCGCAAGGAUGAAACUUAAAGGAAUUGGCGGGGGAGCAC
This 421-nucleotide ribosomal RNA is filed under the name uncultured Halococcus sp. RNAcentral's name for it is "bacterial SSU rRNA". It matches the Rfam family "Archaeal small subunit ribosomal RNA", at positions 459 to 879 of the family's 1478-position model. Lineage: Archaea; Methanobacteriati; Methanobacteriota; Halobacteria; Halobacteriales; Halococcaceae. The record is from RNAcentral.